Molecule: ribosomal RNA, 553 nt
Filed under: Bovicola ovis (sheep biting louse)
Lineage: Eukaryota; Metazoa; Arthropoda; Insecta; Psocodea; Bovicoliidae
Description: SSU rRNA
Rfam family: Eukaryotic small subunit ribosomal RNA
Source: RNAcentral
AAAGAUUAAGCCAUGCAGGUCUCAGUGCAAGCCGAAUUAAGGUGAAACCGCGAAAAGCUCAUUAAAUCAGCUAUGGUUCCUUAGAUGGUACGUACAGUUACUUGGAUAACUGUGGCAAUUCUAGAGCUAAUACAUGCAAACCGAGUUCCGACCGCUUAGCAGGCGGAAGGAAUGCUUUUAUUAGAUCAAAACCAAUCGAACUCUACACGUAUGGGUUCGUUUAAGUCUUGGUGACUCUGAAUAACUUUGUGCUGAUCGCACGGUCCCGCACCGGCGACGCAUCUUUCAAAUGUCUGACUUAUCAACUUUCGAUGGUAAGCUCUGCGCCUACCAUGGUCGUAACGGGUAACGGGGAAUCAGGGUUCGAUUCCGGAGAGGGAGCCUGAGAAACGGCUACCACAUCCAAGGAAGGCAGCAGGCGCGCAAAUUACCCACUCCCGGCACGGGGAGGUAGUGACGAAAAAUAACGAUGCAGAACUCUUUCCGAGGCUCUGCAAUCGGAAUGAGAACACUCUAAAUCAUUUAACGAGUAUCCAUUGGAGGGCAAGUCUGG